AUUAAUCCAACAAUUUGUUCAGCGCAUGGUAGCUAUAUAAAUAAUCCAGAUAUCAUUCGUGUUGACAGAAAUUAGCAAUGCUCCCAAGUACAUACAAAAUUGUCGAGAGAGAAUUUCCUAGCAUGCUGAGUUUCCAAAGACUGGACUUCUUAAUAAUGACACACCUUCGUGUCCAUGCAGGAGCUUUAGGGUCGAUCAGGCCAUAGAUUUCUUCGAUGUUGGCGACGAAUCUUCCGUUCAAGCUUCCGUUGCCCCUCCACCACACAUAUUUGCGUGUCUCCACUCACUCCCCUCAUAGGCGGCCGCUGCUCGACAUGUUGAGCCACUCAUGGCUGUCUCCACUCACUCCCCUCAUAGGAAUAGUGAACCGUAAAAAUAUUUUCAGAGUAUUAGGCUUGUAUCAUGAAUUAUGUUCGCUUCUAUCAAUGCUUCAAGACGCAAAGCUUUUUGUGUUUGCUAAGAAAACUAAGCAAAUAUGAAGGUAAAAGGAAAUCAUCAAUAUAAUUCCGCAAAAACUACUACAUGGAACGGACAUGAAAUGUUGCGGAAAUUGCUGAAUCUUGCUUUUCUGGAACAACGAUAUAGAGUGUUCACUACUGACUUGCACAUACUUUGCAAUCAGAAAAAAGCUUCAUCAAGUAUGUAGACGCGGUGAAAGGGAAUACAACAUACAAAAUCUAGAUACAGAAUUCAAGAUAAUAAAGCUAGAUGGAGCUAACACGACACAAUAUGCUUCAUCGUUUAGCGGGUACUCCCAUGCAUAUACUAAAUCAUAUAGACAUACACUUCAACCAUCAGAACUAUGCCAGAACUGGAACUGGUUUGUUCUUACAUGUCAUUUCCAGUGAGAAAAGGGGGAUGCUAUACAUUCCAAGUCACAAAAAUUGUCUUAAAAUUAUAAGAAGCAAACUAAAAAUUAUAAAUAAUCAGAAGAAGUGCUCCCGCUGAGCGAAAACACAUUGCAUCUGAACAAUGCAAAGCAAUUGCAGCACAUAAGCUAGCACCUUAUUCAUGCUUUAAAGGUGUACAGUUUGACCACCUACUUGUAGCUACUAUACACAUUCACAAGACAUUAGGCCUUUCAUGUAAUAUUUUUCUAGGCAAGAAAACAUUGCUAUAUGACGUAACUCGUAGUAGUAGGUAAAUUCACAAACUGUGUAUGUUGUAUCAAUGACUCUGUUGUAAUCAAACUUUGAAGCUACAAUCAGAUAAAGGAAUAAUAUGAACUUCAGUUAACUGAUGUAAAAUAACAAAAAGAGGCAUGUCUAAAGAACACAAUGGAAGAAUAGAAAAAUGCAUGUAGAAGAUUACACAUGAUCUAAUCAUAUACCUUGCCACCCAAAAUUUUGCCUUUGUCGUAUCAAUGAGUUUGCUAUAAAUGAGGAAGUAGUAAUUUUUGCACGUACUCUAGGUGUUUUGUCAUCGGUUGAACGACAAGCUUCUUCAUUUUUGGAAACUACACGAACAAGACAAAACAUUUGUUCACAGUAAGUUAGUAACCCUAAAGGAUCUACUUACUCGGACAAAUUCAUAAGAACAAACUGCAUAUACAGUAAAACACAACGAGCUCUGAAUCAAAGUAUAACUAUUUGAAAAUCUUUGGAGAAGAUCAAACAAUACAUCAUUGCAUCACUACUCGGGGUCACUAACGGAGGCGCCAAUUCCUUCGAGCUGGGGAAAGGGGAAUUGAAGGUGCUC
Molecule: long non-coding RNA, 1698 nt
Filed under: Triticum aestivum (bread wheat)
Lineage: Eukaryota; Viridiplantae; Streptophyta; Magnoliopsida; Poales; Poaceae
Description: long non-coding RNA (TAES_LNC023320)
Source: RNAcentral